GUGUACCGGAAGGUGCACCUGGAAAGUCAGGAUAGAGCUUGAUUAGUUAAGCAUUUCAUUUACACUGAAAAUACACUGUGCAAUUCAGUUUAUUCUGAUAAAUUUUAACUUACUUUAGUUGUUAGUUGUUAAAAGUUUUUUUAAUUAAAUUAUUUUUAAUAGGUUAUGUUUGUGUAUAGAAUAUAGAUAAAAUUAUUUAAGUGGUAGGUUAAUUGUAUCGUGAGAGGUUGAUUGAAAUAGUUUGAAAAUAUAUUUUUAUAAAAGUAGAUUAAUGAUUGUACCUUGUGUAUCAGGGUUUAUUAAAAAAAUGGCAAAUAUUUGUAUUUUCCCGAUUUGAAGAGAGCUAAAUAAAUGUGUUAGUUAAUGUGGAAUAAUUAUUAAUAACAUUUAUUUAGUAAUGAAACGUUAUUCGUUCUUUAAGAUAUCUGGUUUUCCGAGAAAUGAAUUUAAUUCAGGUUUAAAAAAGUGUAAUUUAAUUUAUUAAAUAAAUCAUUUUUUUAAGCUAAUGCCCUGGGGGAUAAGCUUUAGGGUAGGUUUUAUAAUUAGUGAAAUUUUAAAAGAUUUAGUAGGCUUAGAAUUAGCCAUCUAUUAAAGGAUGUUAUAAUUUAAUUUUUUGUAAGUUUAAUUUUCUAAGAAUUUAAGUUUUAUAUCGGAGCAAUGUAACUAAUUUUUAGUUACUUGAGAUAAUGAUAAAAUUAGUAUAAAAAUUGUUUAAAUUAUUAAAAAAAAUGUUAGGUUACAUUAAGGAAUUAGGCAAAUUAGUACUCGCCUGUUUAACAAAAACAUGUCUUCUUGAUUAUAAUUUGAAGUCUGACCUGCCCACUGAAUUUUAUAUUUGAAGGGCCGCGGUAUUUUGACCGUGCAAAGGUAGCAUAAUCAUUAGUCUUUUAAUUGAAGGCUAGAAUGAAUGGUUGGACGAGGUACUGACUGUCUCGGUGUGAUUGAUAUUAGAAUUUAACUUUUAAGUUAAAAGGCUUAAUAUAUUAAG
Molecule: ribosomal RNA, 988 nt
Filed under: Protonemura lateralis
Lineage: Eukaryota; Metazoa; Arthropoda; Insecta; Plecoptera; Nemouridae
Description: partial large subunit ribosomal RNA
Source: RNAcentral